AACGAACGCUGGCGGCGUGGCUAAGACAUGCAAGUCGAACGACACAUUGUAGCAAUAUGAUGUGUAGUGGCGAACGGGUGAGUAAUGCAUGGGUAACGUGCCUUGAACUCAGGGAUAGCGUCGAGCCCCGCAAGGGGUUCUUUGCGAAAGUGACGGUAAUACCUGAUGACGUCCAUGGAGGGCAUCCUCCGUGGCUCAAAGACGGGGACCGCGAGGCCUGUCGGUGAGAUCGGCCCAUGUCCUAUCAGCUAGUUGGUGAGGUAACGGCUCACCAAGGCAUCGACGGGUAGCCGGACUGAGAGGUUGGCCGGCCACAUCGGGACUGAGACACUGCCCGGACACCUAUGGGUGGCUGCAGUAACGAAUCUUCCGCAAUGGGCGCAAGCCUGACGGAGCGACGCCGCGU
RNAcentral lists this ribosomal RNA (406 nucleotides) under uncultured bacterium. RNAcentral's name for it is "bacterial SSU rRNA". It matches the Rfam family "Bacterial small subunit ribosomal RNA", at positions 29 to 402 of the family's 1533-position model. The record is from RNAcentral.